This 377-nucleotide ribosomal RNA is filed under the name Mycobacterium sp. JC-14. RNAcentral's name for it is "bacterial SSU rRNA". It matches the Rfam family "Bacterial small subunit ribosomal RNA", at positions 137 to 526 of the family's 1533-position model. The record is from RNAcentral. Lineage: Bacteria; Bacillati; Actinomycetota; Actinomycetes; Mycobacteriales; Mycobacteriaceae.
UUUGCGAUAAGCCUGGGAAACUGGGUCUAAUACCGGAUAUACCCUGCUGGUCGCAUGGCCUGGUGGGGGAAAGCUUUUGCGGUGUGGGAUGGGCCCGCGGCCUAUCAGCUUGUUGGUGAGGUUACGGCUCACCAAGGCGACCACGGGUAGCCGGCCUGAGAGGGUGACCGGCCACACUGGGACUGAGAUACGGCCCAGACUCCUACGGGAGGCAGCAGUGGGGAAUAUUGCACAAUGGGCGCAAGCCUGAUGCAGCGACGCCGCGUGGGGGAUGACGGCCUUCGGGUUGUAAACCUCUUUGCAGUGGGGACAAGCGCAAGUGACGGUACCUACAGAAGAAGGACCGGCCAACUACGUGCCAGCAGCCGCGGUUAUUC